UGGUGGGUCAGAACCACCAGAAUGUAUAUCUGACUGCACCAGAGAUCAGAGGUUUCCUGGGGAGGUCCCUCCUUGCUGUCAGGGAGCAGAACUGGCCACAGGAGAAGAUAGCAUCACGGAGGAGCUGAUGUUUGCAGACUUGUGCUGUGGUGAUAUUUCAGUGAUCAAGAGAGUUAAGACAUCUAAGCAGCUGUUAUUUGGUCAAUCGGGAUGCAUUAUAAGUGUUAUGUUCGUCUGAAGACUUCCCAGUUUUGUUCAAACAGUUACUAGGGGAUCUGUGAGGAGAAGGUGGAUGAGACAGGAGAGAAACAAGGUUGUUCCGUUGUGGCGACGUGUGAAACCAGGCGCCAGGCACAACUGUCUGCGACACUUUCUUCAAGGUCUGUGCCGCUGUCCCCUCUCUCCUGCAGGCCUUGACCGGCUUCCUCUGUUGGCAUCUGUGAGGGCUGGACGCUGUGUGCAACCCUGUCUCCUGGUCCUUCUACACAGUCGGCCAGUUUCACUCACACUUAGGACUGCACAUGCUGCCCACAUGCCCAUCUCUACCUGGUCUUCAUUUUGCCCAGAUGCAGCUCCUGAGUUCCCAUGGUGUUGGUGCCCCCUGCAAGCCGCUGAGGCAGAGAAGUCCAGGACAGUUCCCUGCCGCUUCUCCUCCAUCCCCUCUUUCUAUGAAGAGCUUCACCAUCUCUCCUUGUUCAUGCCAGGCACUUGAAUGUCACCCUGGAUUUGACUUUAAGUACCUGAUCUCCUAGUCCUUCCAGUGCUGUGGCUGGAUGAGGUUCGUGUCCAGGGGUUCACCUGUUGGGAGCUUGGGGCCUAGUGUGACAGUGCUAAGAGGCCCUAUAUCACAAUUAGGGCAGUCAUGCCACUUGCCAUGAGGACCAGACCCAAGCCAGUGCCAGCAUCGUGCCCCAGAAUGUCCCACCCUGAGUUAAAAUGAGCUUCUCUUCUUCCCCUAAUACCUGGCUGCAGGCAUCUCAGGUGGCUACAGAGCCUGGUGACUUGUCUGGUCACCUCCCAGGUGUCCCCAGUUCUCUGGCCUCUCCCUCUCUCCUCUGGACAAGGCAGCAGUUGUUACCCUGAGCUCUUCUUCCUGCCACACCCAGGACUGUGGCCAGAGUCUCCUCUCACAGGAAAGCUGGUCACCCUUGUGCUCCUGUGUGGGCACUCAAUGCUAAGAGCCCAUCGGCAGCACUUGUGGAACCCUUAAGGUGACUUCCCCACCCCUGCCCUCCUUCUCAUGCAUCUCCACCCUGCCCUUUGUGGUUCAGUGGAGUGGAGGGGUCUGUGCAUCUCCAGUUCACUGAUUUUAUUCCCGUGAGCCUUUGCACCUGCUUUUUGUUUUUGUUUCCUGGGCACCUAGCAAAGUGCUUAGCACACA
Long non-coding RNA from Heterocephalus glaber (naked mole-rat), 1381 nucleotides. RefSeq lists it as uncharacterized. Lineage: Eukaryota; Metazoa; Chordata; Mammalia; Rodentia; Bathyergidae. The record is from RefSeq and is a predicted model, not a curated record.